This 426-nucleotide ribosomal RNA is filed under the name uncultured bacterium. RNAcentral's name for it is "bacterial SSU rRNA". It matches the Rfam family "Bacterial small subunit ribosomal RNA", at positions 28 to 457 of the family's 1533-position model. The record is from RNAcentral.
GAUGAACGCUGGCGGCGCGCCUAACACAUGCAAGUCGAACGGCACCUGCCUUCGGGCAGAAGCGAGUGGCGAACGGCUGAGUAACACGUGGAGAACCUGCCCCCUCCCCCGGGAUAGCCGCCCGAAAGGACGGGUAAUACCGGAUACCCCGGGGUGCCGCAUGGCACCCCGGCUAAAGCCCCGACGGGAGGGGAUGGCUCCGCGGCCCACCAGGUAGACGGCGGGGUGACGGCCCACCGUGCCGACAACGGGUAGCCGGGUUGAGAGACCGACCGGCCAGAUUGGGACUGAGACACGGCCCAGACUCCUACGGGAGGCAGCAGUGGGGAAUCUUGCGCAAUGGGGGGAACCCUGACGCAGCGACGCCGCGUGCGGGACGGAGGCCUUCGGGUCGUAAACCGCUUUCAGCAGGGAAGAGUCAAGACU